This is a long non-coding RNA of Labrus mixtus (cuckoo wrasse), 2815 nucleotides long. RefSeq lists it as uncharacterized. NCBI's taxonomy places the organism in Eukaryota, Metazoa, Chordata, Actinopteri, Labriformes, Labridae. The transcript has 2 exons. The record is from RefSeq and is a predicted model, not a curated record.
GCCCGGGCAACAACAUGAGGAGCCGCCGCAACAGCGACACCCGGCGGUCGAGAGCGGGAACGACGUAAACACAGGAGGUGUAGCUACGUCAUAGUAGUUAUAAUAAUGUGUUUUUUAUUUAGACCAUAAAGCACCUUUAAAAACACCGGUUUACAAAGUGCUUUGGCUUACAAGCAAAAGUGACAUUAGAAACAAGCAAGAUGUCACAACACAAAAUAACAACACCAGGAUCAUGACCAAGACAUCACAAGACAUCACAAGAACAUUAUAAGAACCCAGCAAAAACAACAUGAAAUGAAACCAGGGGGAGUAGCCAUGUAAGCAACUAAAAGAGGUAGAAACAGGUGAGUCGGUGGCCUAGUGGUUGGUUUGCACGCCCCAUGUACAGAGGCUGUAGUCCUCGAAGCGGGUGGCCCUGAUUCGGAUCCGACCCCCUCUCUCUCUCUCCCGCUCAACAUGGAUAAAGUCAUAAAAGCCCCAGAAUAAACCAAAGAAAAAGGACGAGAUAGAACCAUUAGAAGGGAUAAAAUCAAAUACAGUAUCAGCAGUUCACUGAUGUAGUUUGGAAUCAGACCCAUACAUGCUUUAAGUAAAAGAAGAUGAAGAUGGGGUGAUGGGAUGUCAUCUGUUAAAACCAGUAAGGAGCAGAGCUGCUGCGUUCUGGACGUGUCGUGAUGAUUGAACACAAACACAGAGCUCUUUCACAUCGGCUUUAGUUCACAGGAGAUAAUUUAUCACGAUACAUUACAUUUUACAAGACAAAUAAAAACAGCAAAGGAAGAAUUUUGACUCCAUACGUACACAAACACAAAACACAGAGAAAUACAUGUUACACAGUCCAAUAAUCAAAGAAGAAAGAGAUAAGACAAUGACUGGAAAUGAGUAAAUAUGUAGUCAUGAUGUAGACACAGACGCUUCUUAAAUGACAUCAGCGACAGAUGCAUCGAGAGAAAUGUCAAAUAAGAGUCAACAGAUGAAUAACAGUUAAAGGUAUAGAUAUGAUGCAAAAAAGAAAAUACUCACAUUCUGUUCACCUGUCAGCUUUUAUCAUUUAACUUUGUAGCAAACUGUUAUUUCAUAAUAAAGGUGACAUAUCCUCCUCUUCUUCUUCAGUGUAAAUAAGUGUCAGAGCUGUGUGUGUGUGUGAAGUUUCUUGUUCUAAAUCCACUCUGAUCCUGUAUUUGAUCAUGUCUAUAAACCCCUCUAUUUCAGCCCUGCUCAGAACAGGCUGUUUCUGUGUCUGUACCUUUAAAUAUGUAAAUGAGCUGUGUCUGACCACACCCCCUCUCUGGAAGGGCUUGGGUGUCUCGGUCUUUCUCGCUCCAUGUCCUAUUGUUUACGAUGAGAAGGCAGACUCAGAGGGCAGAACAAACACCUAGCUGUGGGAGUGUCACCCACCUGGGGGAGGGGCUACUGCCCUUUGUGAUGUCAUGAAGGGAAAAUCUCCAAACGGCACACAUUUUCUGAAAAGUUGAGCAGGCAGAAGACAGAGAGGAUGGACUUUUUUCAUCAUUGGGGGGUUUGUAGACAGACUAGAGACACAUGUUAGAGUUAGUGCUGUCAAUAUGAAACUCUUAAAUCGUAUUAUUCCGACUAAAAACAGGAUUUCUGUGAUAUUUUAUCUGAAAUUGAAGGACAGAUUGUUUGAAUCCUUCUCUCUUCAGUCUGCAGUGAGAAUGUUUACUAUCAGUGAAGUUUGUUGGAGUUAAUGUUUGUGUGUGUGUGUGUGUGUGUGUGUGUGUGUGUGUGUGUGUCAUCAUAUCCUGCUAGAUCUGGAGCACCGAUGGGUCCAAAGGUCCAACUAGGCAAACGCAGCUUCCUGUGCCUCUACUCUCUCUCUCUCUCUCUCUCUCUGUCUCUCUCUCUGUCUCGUUCUGUCUCUCUCUCUCUCUGUCUCAUCUCUCUCUCUCUCUGUCUCUUUCUGUCUCUCUCUCUCUGUCUCCUCUCUCUCUGUCUGUCUCUGUGUCUCUCUCUCUCUCUCUCUCUGUCUCUGUGUCUCUCUCUGUCUCUCUCUCUCUCUGUCUCCUCUCUCUCUCUCUGUCUCUUUCUGUCUCUCUCUCUCUCUGUCUCCUCUCUCUCUCUCUCUCUGUGUCUCUCUCUGUGUCUCUCUCUCUGUCUGUCUCUGUCUCUGUGUGUGUGUGUGUGUCUCUCUCUCUCUCUCAAACACUCACACCACAUAAGUCUUGAACCUCAUUCUGUCAUUAAUUAAUGAUUUUCUUUGAUGACGUCUGACUCCUCCCAUUUUUUGACAUGGGUGGCAUUAGUCCUCUUUCUCAUCAUAGAAUUUAUUUGUGUUUUAAAAUCAGGUGCAUGUUUGGAGUACAGGAUAAAUAAUAAGAAGAGAUGUUUGAAUGCUCCAGAUUCUCUAAAAUAAGUGACCUGAAUCCAAACAGCUGUUAGUAAUUAAAAUCAAACUGAAUUUCUUCUCCCAGUUGAGAAAGGAACAGCGGAGGUAGAGGAGAGAAGAAAGGUUCCUGUGUGGUAAAUGAUCACAUGUGGCACACAUUGGAUGUUUAUUAAAAACAUGUGCAAAAGAAAAAAAAACACAUGGAUCGAAUAUUUUUAGCUGCGCCGUGGGCGUCGUUCAGAGGCAAUCAGGAAUCUGCUCCCUCUGUGACUCUCACAGGACUCAUACACCAUGUUGUUUUCAACUCACAGAGAAUCUUUAUCAUUUCACAAAAGCAGUAAAAAGUGAAGCAGCUAACAAGUGGUCGAACAGACGAGAUAAAGGGGGGUAAGAAAGAGCUGUGUGAAGCUGCUGCUGAAUCCUGCAGAAAGCAUCACAUCCUGUCAAAUAAAGACAUGAAGUACUUUA